GCUGGGUGUGAUGUCUCACGCCUGUAAUCCUAGUAUAUUGGGAGGCUGAGGCAGGAGGAUCACUUGAGCUCAGGAGUUUGUGACCAGCCUGGGCAACAUAGUGAGACCUUGUCUCAA
Callithrix jacchus (white-tufted-ear marmoset) is the source of this 117-nucleotide unclassified non-coding RNA. It matches the Rfam family "Metazoan signal recognition particle RNA". From Rfam's summary of the family: The signal recognition particle (SRP) is a universally conserved ribonucleoprotein. It is involved in the co-translational targeting of proteins to membranes. The record is from Ensembl. Lineage: Eukaryota; Metazoa; Chordata; Mammalia; Primates; Cebidae.